This 497-nucleotide ribosomal RNA is filed under the name uncultured bacterium. RNAcentral describes it as "partial 16S ribosomal RNA". It matches the Rfam family "Bacterial small subunit ribosomal RNA", at positions 28 to 507 of the family's 1533-position model. The record is from RNAcentral.
GAUGAACGCUGGCGGCGUGCCUAAUACAUGCAAGUCGAGCGAACAGAUGAGGAGCUUUCUCCUCUUACUUUCGCGUCGGAGGGGUGAGUAACACGUGGAUAACCUACCUAUAUGACUGGGAUUACUUCGUGAAACCGGUGCCAAUUACGGCUAAUCUAUUCAACCCCAUGGUUCAAUAGUUAAAGACGUUUUUGCUUUCACUUAUCGAUUGAUCCGCGCCGCAUUAGCUAGUUGGUCAGGUAACGGCUUACCAAGGCAAUGAUUCGUAGCAGACCUGAGAGGGAGAGCGGCCACACUGGAACUGAGACACGGUCCAGACUCCUACGGGAGGCAGCAGUAGGGAAUAUUGCGCAAUGGGCGAAAGCCUGACGGAGCAACGCCGCGUGAGUGAAGAAGGUCUUCGGAUUGUAAAACACUGUUAGUAGGGAAGAAGAAAGGAGAAAGUAAAUAUGCACGUAUUGACGGUACCUAAACAGAAAGCAACGGCUAACUACGUG